Molecule: long non-coding RNA, 1661 nt
Organism: Homo sapiens (human)
Lineage: Eukaryota; Metazoa; Chordata; Mammalia; Primates; Hominidae
Product: long intergenic non-protein coding RNA 1748
Source: Ensembl
GGGAAGAAAAGUCAGUAGAGAAGGUAGGCAGUGCUUGCAAAGGCCUGAGUCUGAGGUACUUCUUUAUAGCACUGCAAGAAUGGACUAAUACGCUAUGUGAAGACAAAGGGGAUGUCUGCAAGCCAGGACGAGUGCGUCUACCAGAAACUGAGUUCUGCUGGACUUUGAUCUAGGACAUCCAGCCUCCAGAAUGGAAUGUGCCAUAUGUGGAGACCUGCAUGGAAAGGAACUGAGGAUGCUCUCUCACUAAAAGCUAGAAGGAACUGAGGCCCUCAGUCAACAGUCUACAAGACACUGAAUCUUGCCAGCAGCCAAGCAGUGAGCUUGAAAGCAGAUCUAUCAUCAGCUGAACCUUCAGAUGAGACCGCAGCCUAAGCAGAUACCUUGGUUGCAGCCAUGUGAGACAACCUGAAACAGAGGGCACAGCUAAGCCUCAGCCAGGUUCAUGACCCUCUGAGGAAACUGUGAGAAAGCAAAUGUCAUUUUAAGCUAUUUAAUUUUGGAGGUAGUUUAUUACACAACAAUAAAUAACUAUUAUAAUUAUCUUGAGGAUUUAUUUCCUGGGGAGAAUACAUGGAAUUGCAUAUAUAGGUCCUCAUAUGCAGAAUACUGGUACCCUAGAGAUGUUCACCCCAGAGAUGUUUUAGGAACCUGUGAAUAUGUUACAUUAAAUGGCAAAGUUUUCCUGGAUGGUUUAAGUUUAAGAUGGAAAAGUUUUACUGGAUUAUCCAGUGGGUCCAAUCUAGUAACAUGAGUCCUUAAAAAUGGAGAAUAUUUUUUGGCCAUGAUCAGAGAGACAUGUGAUGAUGGAAAAAGUGUCAGAGAUGCAAUGUGAGGGGACUAAAACUGCUGUUGCUGACUUUAAAGAUGGAGAGAGGGGAACCCGAGUCAAGGAAUGCAAAUGGCCUCUGGAAGCUGGAAAAAGCAAGAAAUGGAUUCUCCUUUAGAGCCUGUGGAAUAAAAUGCAGUCAUGCUGACACCUUGAUUUUACCUCAGUGAGACCAAUACUGGAGUAUGACCUUCGGAGCUGAAUAAAAUUAUACGUACACAUCUUAAUUUCUUGGGAUUUGAUUACUUCUUCUGCUUUGAAAUUAGACCAAGUUUAGCCUGCCUUUGCUAUUUUGGCGUAUCUCCAAUUCUUCAUGAUUUUCUCAUAGUGUUGCCUCCAUAUGAUGCAAAAUAUCCAACCUAGCCCUGACAUGAAAACUUAAUUGAAAGUAUCCAACAGUGGAAAAUUGUUGAACAUCUACAUACGAAGAUGAAGGGAAAACUUGAAAGCAGUCAGAGGAAAAAAAAGGACACAUUACCUUCAAAUGGACAAUAAGAUGGAUGGCUAAUUAAAAUAUUAUUGCAGUAUAAUUGAUGUUUGCUACAUUGUACAUAUUUAAAGUGUACAAUGUGAUCAUUUUCCACGUAUGUAUAUACAUGUAAAAGCAUCACCGGAAUAAAGAUUACAAACAUUUCUGUUACUCCUCAGAGUUCCUUAUGCCACUGUGUAAUCCAACCAUCCUCUACCCCAUCCCCAGAAAACUGAUUUGCUUUCUGUUACUGUAAUUAGUUUGGAUAUCCUAUAAUUUUUCAUAUGGAUGGAAAUGCAGUAUGUAUUUUGCCUGGCUUCUUUUACUCAGCAUAGCAAUUUUGAGAUUUAUUCAUUUUGUUGC